CCCAAGAUACUCAUUUGCUCUUAUGUGAACUCUCGGUCUCUCAGUUUCUAGUUGCCUAAAGGCACUUCUCUAAUUUUUCCCAAUUCUCAUUGCAGACCCAGUUUUGGUGACUUGGUCACUGCAGACCUUUCAGAAUGUGUGGUGCUCAUUCUUGUUAAACCAGUUGAGAAUUUCCCCAAUCCUUUGGCCCUGCGCACAAGUGUAGCUGCUCUUCCAAUCAAUGGGACCUUUGUAUGCAGCAGGGCGGAAGGAUAUUAUUAUGUGACAAAUGACCACAGGGAAACUCCCAUUAUUUUCCUUGUGUCUGAGAAAUUAUAAAUGUGUAAUAAGGAACACUUUGUAGUAACCCUUGUUAAUUUAUGAUUUUAAAUAUGAAUGUGAAUUUAUUGGAAUGACACAAUAAAGAGUCACCAUGGGCACCGAUUAUAAUUAUCACCAAGUACAAUGAAGCAGAGAAAGAAACUAUCUCGCUCCUAAAUGGCAUCAUCCAUAUAAGCCUUGCCUUGUUCAAAGCUACUCUGUAGUAUUUUCUUUUAAAUAAAAUAAAUAAGGCACAAAUAAACAACA
Homo sapiens (human) is the source of this 567-nucleotide long non-coding RNA. Ensembl annotates it as NR2F2 antisense RNA 1. Its record names the gene NR2F2-AS1. The record is from Ensembl. Lineage: Eukaryota; Metazoa; Chordata; Mammalia; Primates; Hominidae.